GGGGUCAGCCUCUAUAAAGGAUGCUAUGGAACAGGUACAUUUUACCAUGUACCCCAUAUAAUGUACUUACAGAGUUGUUUCUCUCUAGGGAUUGCCCUGCUACAGAAAAAGUAAUAGCCUUUGACGUACGGGUUUGUGAGGUGUAUUAAAAGCAUGAGUUAGCCGCUCUCUAAUAUCUCUGGAGAUCCUAAUAUCUGACAACAAAUCCUCAUCUGGACGGCACAGAACCUGUAAAACUCAGUGGAGGAACGCAGAGCCUUUUCUUCCUGAAAAGAUCCAAACAAGAAAUGGAUUCUCUCUAAACCCAACACUGCAAUUUUGGGAAAGGCGUAUUUACAAACACCUUGAGUAAUCACAGAUGCCCUCCACCACAUCCCAGCUCCUUUUCACAAAAUCUCUCACACGGCAUCCAAGCGAUUCAAUGCUUAAGAGCAGUUGCCCCAGUUGUCCCUCGCCUUUCAGGCAACCAACUGCCUGCUAAGAUGCAAAGGGCCCAGGAAAUUCAAAGGGCUUGAUAUGCGCUGGCCAGUGUAUAGACAACGCCUUCUAGUCUGUGCUUUGUUCUCAAGGGGAACAGUUUUAUUUUAUUCUCAUGACAGAUUAUUUUGGAUUUCAAAGGAAGAUGAACACUUGGGUUGCCUGCACGGCAGACAAUGACUUCCAGGACCACAACUACUCUUUCCUCCCUGCCAGCAUCUUCAUAAUGCCAAAUGGGACAGAGAGACAUAAAAUUUCAAUUACAUGCGAUGAAAAAAGAAUAUGUUUCCAAUUAGCCUGCUCCAACACCCACUGAAGUCAAUAUGAUCUUUGCCUUUGGAUUUCAAGAGGAUCAGUUUUUCCCUGGUCAGGCUCCCUCUUUCACUGAAGGACUCUGAAGGACAAAAAUCAAGGGAGGAAAGCCCUGGGCACUUCUGCCAGCCACCUUUUUUACAACCCACAGCCUCUUCAACCAAUGGUCAAACAUCCUCAGUCCUUUUGCAAGCAGCGAGGCAUCAACAUUUCUGUCUGCGUGGGAUGUUUCAAUUUGUGCUUUUUCCUUGUUGUUUUAACAUAAAACCUACUAUUUCUAAAAGUGAAUUUUAAAUCAAAGAUAUUUUUUCCCUUUUAUCUUAAACUCACUCCAUAAGCUACAUAGUACAAAAUAAAGUCACAUUCAUCACAAGGAAGAGUGUGCCA
This 1176-nucleotide long non-coding RNA is filed under the name Anser brachyrhynchus (Pink-footed goose). Its description in RNAcentral is "lncRNA (ENSABRG00000017891.1)". Lineage: Eukaryota; Metazoa; Chordata; Aves; Anseriformes; Anatidae. The record is from RNAcentral.